CUGGCGGCGUGCUUAACACAUGCAAGUCGAACGGAAAGGCCCUGCUUGCAGGGUACUCGAGUGGCGAACGGGUGAGUAACACGUGGGUGAUCUGCCCUGCACUUCGGGAUAAGCUUGGGAAACUGGGUCUAAUACCGGAUAGGAGCCAUCUUUAGUGUGGUGGUUGGAAAGUUUUUUCGGUGUAGGAUGAGCUCGCGGCCUAUCAGCUUGUUGGUGGGGUAAUGGCCUACCAAGGCGGCGACGGGUAACCGGCCUGAGAGGGUGUACGGCCACAUUGGGACUGAGAUACGGCCCAGACUCCUACGGGAGGCAGCAGUGGGGAAUAUUGCACAAUGGGCGCAAGCCUGAUGCAGCGACGCCGCGUGGGGGAUGAAGGCCUUCGGGUUGUAAACUCCUUUCGCUAGGGACGAAGCUUUGUGUGACGGUACCUAGAUAAGAAGCACCGGCUAACUACGUGCCAGCAGCCGCGGUAAUACGUAGGGUGCGAGCGUUGUCCGGAAUUACUGGGCGUAAAGAGCUCGUAGGUGGUUUGUCGCGUCGUCUGUGAAAUUCUGGGGCUUAACUCCGGGCGUGCAGGCGAUACGGGCAUAACUUGAGUGCUGUAGGGGUAACUGGAAUUCCUGGUGUAGCGGUGAAAUGCGCAGAUAUCAGGAGGAACACCGAUGGCGAAGGCAGGUUACUGGGCAGUUACUGACGCUGAGGAGCGAAAGCAUGGGUAGCGAACAGGA
Molecule: ribosomal RNA, 728 nt
Filed under: uncultured Actinomycetales bacterium
Lineage: Bacteria; Bacillati; Actinomycetota; Actinomycetes; Actinomycetales
Description: bacterial SSU rRNA
Rfam family: Bacterial small subunit ribosomal RNA
Source: RNAcentral